UUUUAAAACAUUUAAACCAGCUAAAAUUUAUAGGAUAAAAUUGGUUUUAUUUUUAUUUAAAAUUUAAAUCUUUUCAAAUUAAAAAGACUUCAACAUAUUAUGCAUCAAAAAAAAGCAAAGGGUGUAUGUUUUUCAUUUUUUUUAAAAAAAACAUAUAUUAUGCAUCAGAUUUCCCAAAAAGGAGAUGCAACAAAAAGGACAAAAAUAAAAGGGAAAAUUGGC
Molecule: long non-coding RNA, 222 nt
Filed under: Elaeis guineensis (African oil palm)
Lineage: Eukaryota; Viridiplantae; Streptophyta; Magnoliopsida; Arecales; Arecaceae
Description: long non-coding RNA (EGUI_LNC030134)
Source: RNAcentral